Molecule: ribosomal RNA, 484 nt
Filed under: uncultured bacterium
Lineage: Bacteria
Description: partial 16S ribosomal RNA
Rfam family: Bacterial small subunit ribosomal RNA
Source: RNAcentral
AUUGAACGCUGUCGGCAGGCCUAACACAUGCAAGUCGAGCGGAUGAAGGGAGCUUGCUCCUGGAUUCAGCGGCGGACGGGUGAGUAAUGCCUAGGAAUCUGCCUGGUAGUGGGGGAUAACGUCCGGAAACGGGCGCUAAUACCGCAUACGUCCUGAGGGAGAAAGUGGGGGAUCUUCGGACCUCACGCUAUCAGAUGAGCCUAGGUCGGAUUAGCUAGUUGGUGGGGUAAAGGCCUACCAAGGCGACGAUCCGUAACUGGUCUGAGAGGAUGAUCAGUCACACUGGAACUGAGACACGGUCCAGACUCCUACGGGAGGCAGCAGUGGGGAAUAUUGGACAAUGGGCGAAAGCCUGAUCCAGCCAUGCCGCGUGUGUGAAGAAGGUCUUCGGAUUGUAAAGCACUUUAAGUCGGGAGGAAGGGCAGUAAGUUAAUACCUUGCUGUUUUGACGUUACCAACAGAAUAAGCACCGGCUAACUUCGUG